Molecule: ribosomal RNA, 710 nt
Filed under: Roseovarius sp.
Lineage: Bacteria; Pseudomonadati; Pseudomonadota; Alphaproteobacteria; Rhodobacterales; Roseobacteraceae
Description: bacterial SSU rRNA
Rfam family: Bacterial small subunit ribosomal RNA
Source: RNAcentral
CCGGGCGGCAGACUACACAUGCAAGUCGAGCGAGAACUUCGGUUCUAGCGGCGGACGGGUUAGUAACGCGUGGGAACGUGCCCUUCACUACGGAAUAGUCCCGGGAAACUGGGUUUAAUACCGUAUACGCCCUUCGGGGGAAAGAAUUUCGGUGAAGGAUCGGCCCGCGUUAGAUUAGAUAGUUGGUGGGGUAACGGCCUACCAAGUCUACGAUCUAUAGCUGGUUUUAGAGGAUGAUCAGCAACACUGGGACUGAGACACGGCCCAGACUCCUACGGGAGGCAGCAGUGGGGAAUCUUAGACAAUGGGCGCAAGCCUGAUCUAGCCAUGCCGCGUGAGUGAUGAAGGCCUUAGGGUCGUAAAGCUCUUUCGCCAGGGAUGAUAAUGACAGUACCUGGUAAAGAAACCCCGGCUAACUCCGUGCCAGCAGCCGCGGUAAUACGGAGGGGGUUAGCGUUGUUCGGAAUUACUGGGCGUAAAGCGCGCGUAGGCGGAUUGGAAAGUUGGGGGUGAAAUCCCAGGGCUCAACCCUGGAACUGCCUCCAAAACUAUCAGUCUAGAGUUCGAGAGAGGUGAGUGGAACUCCGAGUGUAGAGGUGAAAUUCGUAGAUAUUCGGAAGAACACCAGUGGCGAAGGCGGCUCACUGGCUCGAUACUGACGCUGAGGUGCGAAAGUGUGGGGAGCAAACAGGAUUAGAUACCCUGGUAGU